Molecule: long non-coding RNA, 969 nt
Organism: Phascolarctos cinereus (koala)
Lineage: Eukaryota; Metazoa; Chordata; Mammalia; Diprotodontia; Phascolarctidae
Source: RefSeq, a predicted model, not a curated record
UCUCUCUCUCUCUCUCUCUCUCUCUCUCUCUCUCUCUCUCUCUCUCUCCCUCUCCCCCCCAGCACCUUUUCUACACCAGCUUCCUAGCUGCACAGAGUUACCAACACCCUUGGGAUCACCCCACCCCCUGCACCCCCGCUGGGGACCGGACCUUCGGAGAGUUGUUUGGGGUAAGGGGAGACGAAAAAGUGAAGGUGAAGAGAGAUAGGAAUUAGUGCUGGUUCUCCUGUGGAACUCACUGGGCAAAACCAGAAGUGUUCAGUUCGAUCCAGGGCGUCUCGGCUGUUCACGCACCGAGGAUCCCCAGCGGUCAGAGAAGAGGGAAACGCCCCUCCAACUUGUGGCUGGAACAGGCACCUUCUGGACAUCUCCACCUAAGCUGGACCAGGCAACUGGGUGUUGGAUGCUGGGCGAGGUCUGGAGGUCCGAGACCACUGCCUCUGCUCUGCUUUCCCUGCCUGGGGAAGGGACCGAGGGAAGAGAGAGUCGCGGAGAAAGUGCUGAUUAGAAGCUGCGAAAACUGGCAGGAACAACCCACCCCGCAGGGCUGGGGGGAUUGAGCCGCAUUCAGUGGGCCAGGAAGGGGUCUCGGAAUCCCUUGGAACCCCCGAGGAGUCUGCGCUCUCACCCACAGAGCGAGGGCGCACUGACACCUGCUGGUGGCUCAGGGUCAGUGCUGAGUACCCUCAAGCAAUUUGAUACACAGGAUUCUGGAGAUACUUGAGAACCCCAGCAUGGGUAAUCUAGGGCUUCUCUUUAGUAAGCUCCCUACCUUCAAUAAGGACGAAACUGCUUAAAGGAAAGGGGGUUUCCGUUUUCAAAUAACAUUGGAAUGUGUUAUUUCAAAAUCACCCAAAGUUCCUAAAGGAGAAAACCAUUGUCUUUUUUCCUACUUCUUUCCUUUUCUUUCUUUCUUUUGCCCCCAAUAGUGCGGUUAUUUAUGCAUAAAUAAAUAUAAAAGUCAAAAGA